Molecule: long non-coding RNA, 4930 nt
Organism: Homo sapiens (human)
Lineage: Eukaryota; Metazoa; Chordata; Mammalia; Primates; Hominidae
Gene: SNHG28
Product: small nucleolar RNA host gene 28
Source: Ensembl
CUACGUCAAGGUCAAGAGCGCGGAGCCGGCUGACUGCGCCGAGGGGCCGGUGCAGUGCAAGAACGGCCUCUUGGUCUCCAGCCCACACUGUGAAGAGCCUUGUGCCCACAGCUGUGCACAUCCUGGGCUUCCUCCACACCUUGUCCAUAAACUGCCCCUCAGCUACCUUCAGACCCAGGAUACAGGUAGGCAUUUUAGUCCAUCUUCAGAAUUCCCAUCUGUAUUUCUGAAGUGUGAUCUAAAAGGGGGAGAGGCAGCUACGGGUGAAUGCACCGUUGUCUCCUUGCCUAUGGAGGAGAGCCAGAGCUGCCUUUCUGUAGUACAGGCCAGGGCAGCAGCCUUCUUGCCUUGGUGUAGGGGUGAUAUUGUCUGUGCUUGUGGCUUCCUGGGGUAAUCAGGUAGGGAAUAGACCGACAGGCAUCCUGUUAGGCUUGUCCUUUCUAGACGCAGCCUCCAGAAGAAUAAAUGCUCCAUUAGCAGCUGGCUGGAGCUGGCUGAGGCUCUGGCUGGUGACUCUGGCCUCUGGUGUAGACUUCCCUCAGGUGAGUGCAUGGAUGAGAGCUCUACCUUCUCCUGACUGCCCAGGCCUCAGGACAACAGGUAAGCCAAGAGGCUCAGGCCUUCCCCUGCACUUCUUGUCCUUCUGCUGGGAGUGGCCAGGCCUGUGGUCAGUCCUUCCACCAUCUGCCUCUCUCAUGUCCUCAUGCGGAGGCAUCCCUACGUGUGGGGAUCUGUGCUCAGUGCUCAGGAGGCAUCCAGCACCCUGGGUGUCUGUGGAUUGUUAGGGAUUUUCUGGGACUGUUAGGCUGUCAGGUUGUUAUCAAUGAGGGGCAGGAGGGAUCCCAGGGUAUUUCUGAGCAUCGAAGAGAGAGGUCCAGGCUACCAACUGGUUGUGUCUUCUUUGCUGGGGGGUGGGAGCGGGGGUAGUGGCUCCCUGGUCUGGGAGCAGGACUGCAGUGAGUAUGCUGGAGCUCUGAGCUCCUGCAGUUAAGCCAACUGAAGGUGGGCGUAUGGUUGAGUGGUUAACUGCAGGUGGGCAUAUGGUUGAGUGGGUCAGCCAGCAGACAGAGCUCCGACCUCUUCAUUUUCUCUCUGGUUAGACAGAGUUUAAAUGGCUUUACCUGACUUUGGAAGACUCCUGAGGAGUCUAAGCAGGUCCAGCCAGUGGGUACAGGCUUGAAGACCAACAGGGUGGGCUGGCAGAUGAGACAGUAUCAGCAUCUCAGUCCAGGCGUCCCAGCCAGGACCACCCUAACCACCACCAGGAGGAUGGAACCAGCCCCUAGCCCUUGUGAGUGGCUCUCCCUUUUCUGUACCAUCUCAAGGGAAACCUGAAGACAAGCUACCAGCAUGAGAUGUCCUGGUGUUCAGGGAACACAGUUAAACAAAAGUGUGAUGCUGCUGUGGGAAAGCCUGCCCCAGGACACCACCAUACCAUGCUGUCUUCAGUUCCUGCCAGCUGAAGUUUUAUUCCCAGGCAAUGCUUUCUCCUUUUACCGUUUCCCGUGGGGACCUGACUGGCUGUCUUUGGGGACUGAGGUCUUACAGGCCAGGAGGUGCCUUUGAGCUCAUGCUAGGGGCUGUGUGCCUGUGAACUCACUGGAAUCCUUUGUUGACACAUUGCUUUCUUACCAGUCUGUGAGCUCUUUGAGGGCAGGGCUUGUGAUGCUACUAUUUAGUAAUUCCUGUAUCCCAGUUGGUGCUGACACAUAGUAGGUGCAUAGUAAGUGCUUACUGAAUGAAUGGAUGGGUGCAUUUCCUGUUCUACAGAUACCUGUUCAAACUUUGUUUUGUACUUUAUUUUGUUAACCCAGUUAAUGCUUCUGACAAGAAGUUCUACAGCUCCUCCCCACCCCAUCAAAGAGGAGGGCCCUUGGCCUCAAAUAGGCCAAUCAGGCUCUGUUGGUGGGGAGUUGAAUCUUCAGUGAGCAACUGGGGAAGAGAAAACAGAACAGAACUAUUUUCGGAGGCCCCGAGGCCUGCAUCCUCAAGGCUACCUGGCUUUGUCUUUUCUGAGGCUCGGUCAACAUUUUCCUUGGUUCUCUGAGUUACUCACAUCUUUCUAAUACAUUUCCUCUUUUACUUUAGUUAAAACCAGAGUUGGUUUCUGUUGCUUGCCUCCAAAGAACCCUGACUGAUAUAAGUGUUUUCCUGUUAUUUUUAAAUCUUCUAAAGUAUUGCUCUGAGAUGGUUUCUGCUUAAGCAGAUUCAUUGAAACAGUUUACUUCAUAUUUGGAUUUUUCCAUUUGUCAGAACAUUCUUCCUUGGUAGUGUGGUGCAGUAGAAGGGACUGGACUGAUUUAGAUAAUCUAAAGGUAAUUCUGACUGUGCCACUAAUUAUGUAAUUUCAGAGGAGUAACAUUCUCUUUGGAUUUCAGUUUCCACAUGAGAAAUAAAAAAACUUGAACUGAGUAACCACAGAUUUCCUUCCAGCUUUAAGAUCCUAUUAUUCAUAUGAGUCAAUAUCUGCCUUUUAGUGAUAUGCUCCAUUGGCCCCAGUUACAUGGUCUGGGCUUAUGUGAUAACCCUUCAAAUAUUUGAGAACCUAUGCUCCUGCGAGUGUUUUGUUCUAGGCCCAACAUAACCAGUUUCUGUAAUCAUUUCUCAUAUGGUAAGGUUUUUAGACUUUUCACCAUUCUGGUCAUUCUCUUCCAGACACUCCAGUUUUUCAGUGUCUUCCUGAAAGUGUGGCUUCGAGACCUGGACCUGGACUAGUCAUGCUGUGGGAGUCUCCCCACUACUUACCCGUGUGCUCAGCCUGCCCCUCCUGGCACAUAAUGUUGACUAAGGCACAGCCCAAGGGGAGGCAGCCACCAUAACUUUCCUAGAUCUAGGGAUAGUUAUUUUUUGUCAUUUUAGAGGCCCUUCCUUCAGGCUGCAUGCAGAACAGAUGCAGGUAGCCAUGAAGCCAAAUCUGGAAGGAGAUGAUGCUUCCUCUGAAGAUCAGUAAGUAACCAAGAGUGAUUAACUGAACAGGUGCUAGUUCUUAAUACACAUGGAAGAAAGAUUUGCUACAGGUGUCAUUAAUGUUUGCAGCAGUUUUUUUUUUUUUUUUUAAUUGAGACGGAGUCUCACUCUGUUGCCCGGGCUGAAGUGCAGUGGCACAAUCUCAGCUCAUGCAGCAGUUUUUUUAAAAAUGAGGCACUGAAUGUUCAUGUCUCCAUUGAUGAGAAAAAUGUCCUCUCUAACCCUUUUCUUAUGCUAUUCCCCUUUCCUAUUCUCUCUGAUAUCAUGUUUCAUGAGCCCUUUGCCCUAGCAGCUCUUGUAUUUGUCUUUUGUACAGGAGAACAGAUGCAAAAACUAUUGCUCAAGGAAAAUAAAGUGAAAACGAGGAAAAGCAAAAGAAGAUCUGGAGAGGGCUCUCACCUGACCACAAGCAUCCUGGAGCAAUGAGUUUCAGGCAGGAAGACUCAUCCUGAGCUGAGCUGCUUUUCUUGAAGUUGUGCAAGAACGUCCUGUUGGCUGGGGCAAAUUCAGUAUUUCUUUUCCUGGCCACUGUGCUGGAGCGUGAGGAAAGACUCUCCACCCUCACUCCCAGAUCCUGCAGGAGGCGUGAGAGCGGAUGGAGAUGGUGAGGAUGUCUAUUAAUAUGGUGUUUCCUGCAAAACGGUGCCCAUCUCAACCAUGGGUUGUCAACCAUCCUCGGUGUCUACAACUGCAAUUUACCUUUGAGGGCCCAUGAACUCUGAUUACCUGAAAGUCCUUAGGCCAGAAAGAGAAACCCCUGUCCCCCACCUCUCACUUUCACCUAUUUCUAGACCUUUUCUUACAGCAAUGCCUUGGCCCUCAGGAAGCAUCAGAUCUCAAACUGCAGGGUCUGGGGCUGAAGCUGAUGCUGGCAUGGGUGACUCAGAGUUCCUCUAUUAGUUCAAAUAUGUAAUAUCUUUUAGAGCCUAGGACUCAGGCUGGAGGCAAUUCCUUGGUGCCAGUUGGUUAAUACUUUAUGAAUAGUGGUGGGGGAGGGAAUGCCUUGGACUAUUAAUGUCCCCAUGGAUCUGGAUCCUGGAGAACUUCCAGUGUCCUGGAUGGAAUGUUCUGCUUGGCUCAUCUUGCCCAGAGAAGAGCCAGGAUAUGAGAAGAUGGGAGAGGGAAGGGGGAGGUGUGAAACGUGCUGGUGCUUCCUGUCCUCGUGGUGUGAUGGCUGCCCAGGCUGCUCCUUCGAGGCAGGACAGGAUUCCCAUGGGAGAUAUGAGGACCAUGGUGAUUUCCAGGCACCAGUUAUGUCCCAGAGCAUCGUGUGCCUGUGCAGUGGGGUUACUGAUAGUCCAGGCAUCAGUUCAUAUUGUCCUUUAUGGCAGAUCCUGCACAAGGGGGUUCUCUGUCUCUGGACCCACUCUGUCAGCAUGGACAUCCUUUUUCUUUUUCCCUGGUAAGGACAUCAGAAAGAAAGUUACCCCUCCAGUGUUUGGAGUCUUGGAAUCCUUGGCCUGCCUGCAGGCCUCUGAAUCCUCAGUGUGUUAGCCCAAGGUCACCUUAGGUAAAGGAACAUUUCUCCUGGUCUUCCAACACCCUGGAAAGGGAGGCUCUUCAAGAAUAGGAAAUUCUUCCUAGUAUCUAACCUUGGCCUGCAACUAUGCCAUACAUUUAAUUGUAGAAGGUAUGGAAAGUUAGGACUGUGGUGGACCCAGUUAAAUCACUGGACAGAAGCCAUGAGGCAGAGCCAGAACCAGCUUCUGGACUCCCUGCAUGGAGCUUUCUACUAUCCCAGGUUGUUGGGUCCCUUCUCAGUGGCCAAAGAUGCUAUUUUAUGAGCCUUGAGGACAUGACACUAAGUGAAAAAAGCCUGGCCAAAGGGCCACAUAGUGUAUAGUUCUAUUUAUAUGAAAUGUCCAGGAAAGACAAAAGCAUAGAGGCAGAAAGCAGACUAGUGCUGUGGGAGGAAUGGGGGAUUUGGGAGGUGAUGGCUAAGGGGUUAUGGGGUUUUGGGGGA